ACCACCAGGAAACACAUGAGUAGUGUCAUUGAUAGGUUGCUGUUUUUGUUAUUUUUUUGUUUGUCUGUGAGAGACAACGAGACAGAUGAGACGUGUGUUUAUCUGCUUCAGAGAAACUGAUGAAGCAAUGCGGCCAUCACAGGGUUUAUGUAAGUACACUACAAAAAUAAAUGCAACAUUUUAAAUCUUAAGUUGUAUUUUAUUUUAAUGUAAUUUUAUACAACUAUUACACCUCUUUUCUUAUUCUUGAUUUCUGUGCAUUUGCUGCAGAUCUUUUGUGGUGGAGCAGGACCUGCAAGGAAAGGUGAAAAAAGGGAAAACCUGAAACAAAAGAAUAAUGUAAUGACCUUUUGUAUUGUGUAUGUGUAUUUUUGUAGGACAUUAACAUUUCUGUAGACUGGUGUGGGCACUGAGGAUGGAGAAGACCACAGCAUCAUCCUGGAAAUGAUCGAGAGUCACAGAUGAGAUGCUCCCUCACUUCACCUGCCCUUUGCGGUCUCAUCAGGACCAGAUGCUACUGUUGUGUCUUCAUCCUCAGUUUGAAUACCAGGGAACACUUGUUAGGUAGUCGUGCUCAUGGGGUGCAGGCACACGAAAGUUUGGAGCAGACACAGCAGUAAGAUUGUCCUGCACGUGUUCUUCUGCUCUAGCUUCAAGGUUGUGUGGUUCAGAGAGCUGUCAUCAAGGUCUUCCUCAUCCUGUUGCUCAACGACAUCCGCAUUGAGAAGAGUGAGAUUGUGAAGUGCAGCAGCAGAACUGUAUCAGCUGUGUUCAGAUGGCAGGAGGAUGUUGGGUUCACCAAGGAUGUGUUGUUGACUUGUAUAUGUAUGCAUUUAUUGUGAUGCUUACUUUUAUACAUAGUUUUAAUCAUUUAGACAUUUUUUUUUUGUUCUCAGUAAAUAAAAUGUAAAUAUUUUAU
This is a long non-coding RNA of Carassius auratus (goldfish), 919 nucleotides long. RefSeq lists it as uncharacterized. Lineage: Eukaryota; Metazoa; Chordata; Actinopteri; Cypriniformes; Cyprinidae. The transcript has 3 exons. The record is from RefSeq and is a predicted model, not a curated record.